GUGCCAUAGCUCAGUUGGUUGCAUCCAAAAGUGAGCGUCAGCGAGCUUUCGGAUGCCGAAGAAGAGCAAAGGACUGAAAAUCCUUGUGUCCCCGGUUCGAUUCCUGGUGGCACCA
This 115-nucleotide transfer RNA is filed under the name Candidatus Phocaeicola faecipullorum. RNAcentral's name for it is "tRNA-Phe". It matches the Rfam family "tRNA". From Rfam's summary of the family: Transfer RNA (tRNA) molecules are approximately 80 nucleotides in length. Their secondary structure includes four short double-helical elements and three loops (D, anti-codon, and T loops). Further hydrogen bonds mediate the characteristic L-shaped molecular structure. tRNAs have two regions of fundamental functional importance: the anti-codon, which is responsible for specific mRNA codon recognition, and the 3' end, to which the tRNAs corresponding amino acid is attached (by aminoacyl-tRNA synthetases). tRNAs cope with the degeneracy of the genetic code in two manners: having more than one tRNA (with a specific anti-codon) for a particular amino acid; and 'wobble' base-pairing, i.e. permitting non-standard base-pairing at the 3rd anti-codon position. Lineage: Bacteria; Pseudomonadati; Bacteroidota; Bacteroidia; Bacteroidales; Bacteroidaceae. The record is from RNAcentral.